This 359-nucleotide ribosomal RNA is filed under the name Acinetobacter baumannii. Its description in RNAcentral is "bacterial LSU rRNA". It matches the Rfam family "Bacterial large subunit ribosomal RNA", at positions 2168 to 2536 of the family's 2925-position model. Lineage: Bacteria; Pseudomonadati; Pseudomonadota; Gammaproteobacteria; Moraxellales; Moraxellaceae. The record is from RNAcentral.
CUUUCGGGGGCGGUGGAGGCGCCGGUGAAAUACCACCCUGAUGCGGCUGGGGGCCUAACCCAAGGGAUUGGGGACAGCGCUUGGCGGGCAGUUUGACUGGGGCGGUCGCCUCCUAAAAGGUAACGGAGGCGCCCAAAGGUUCCCUCAGGCGGGACGGAAAUCCGCCGGAGAGCGCAAGGGUAGAAGGGAGCCUGACUGUGAGGCCUGCAAGCCGAGCAGGGGCGAAAGCCGGGCCUAGUGAACCGGUGGUCCCGUGUGGAAGGGCCAUCGAUCAACGGAUAAAAGUUACCCCGGGGAUAACAGGCUGAUCUCCCCCGAGCGUCCACAGCGGCGGGGAGGUUUGGCACCUCGAUGUCGGC